RNAcentral lists this long non-coding RNA (477 nucleotides) under Phoenix dactylifera (date palm). RNAcentral's name for it is "long non-coding RNA (PDAC_LNC022799)". Lineage: Eukaryota; Viridiplantae; Streptophyta; Magnoliopsida; Arecales; Arecaceae. The record is from RNAcentral.
CAUUCAUCAAUCUAUGUGUCACCAAUAACUGUUAGGUGAGGUGGCAUGUAAAUUGAUGGAACCGCAGUACCCACUAGAAACCCUAGUCGUGUAGGAUUUCCGUUUUCCUACCAUUUGAGUGUGAGGGAUUCGAGAAAAUAGUGGGAGUUACAUUUGUUCUAAAAGACCUUAGAACAGAUUAGGAUCAAGUACAAAAGUCCAACUAGAAUCUUUACUCUCUGCAGAUACAAUGUCAGCUUCAAACCCUUUGACCCGUAUUCUUGAGACCAACCGAUUGACCGGAACCAAUUACAAGGACUGGCUUAGAAACCUCAAAAUUGUUUUGGACUGUGAGAAAAUAGGCUACAUACUCGAUUCAGAUAGCCCCACACUACCAACACGUCCUACUGAUGUUCAGCGACAGAUGCAUCAAAAGUGGAUGGAUGAUGACAUUAGAGUUAAAUGCUAUAUGAUGGCAUCCAUAUCCAAUGAACUCCA